Caenorhabditis elegans is the source of this 148-nucleotide non-coding RNA. NCBI's taxonomy places the organism in Eukaryota, Metazoa, Nematoda, Chromadorea, Rhabditida, Rhabditidae. The record is from Ensembl.
UUUCAAAAAAAGAAGCAAAGGGAAGAAGCGCUUUGAGUAGCCUUUGAUCCGAAUUCGGCUAUUCUCUGUUUGCACUUCUACUCGUGCCCAUCGCACUUCAAACAACCCGUAGGCACUAAGUUUGGUUACUUUACUUUGCCAUCUUUUU